Molecule: non-coding RNA, 229 nt
Filed under: Paenibacillus riograndensis
Lineage: Bacteria; Bacillati; Bacillota; Bacilli; Caryophanales; Paenibacillaceae
Description: T-box sequence
Rfam family: T-box leader
About the family: Uncharged tRNA acts as the effector for transcription antitermination of genes in the T-box leader family.
Source: RNAcentral
GCAAAACCGAUGAUGGAACAAAGAUUCUGCAAGUCUUCAGAGAGCCGGUGGAUGGUGCAAACCGGUGGCGGACAGAACUCUUUAGCGCUCCUGAGAUAUUGUGUCGAACCUUACAGUAGGCACAAUCGGAUCAUCUCCGUUACCAGUGUGGCCUUUGCAGGCCAAUGAGGCUGCUACUUCAACAGUUGCAGUGAAUUAGGGUGGUACCACGACAACUCUCGUCCCUUAC